UUUCUUCGUCAUCUACAAGAGAUACCACGUAGCCCUUCAGCAAGCCCCGAUAAUGGGAUUACCAAAAUAUGUGAAGUAAACAUUGUAGAAGCAACUCGCCCUACUAACAUAGGGGUCUUUCAGGAUAACCCUAACAACCUACAUCGGGUUGUUUUGGAAGGAGACUUUGAGGGUGUAAGAAAUAUACUAGCGAAGGCUGCAGCUGGAGGCGGUGGAAGCUCUGUGCGAUCUCUAUUAGA
This is a non-coding RNA of Camelina sativa (false flax), 239 nucleotides long. NCBI's taxonomy places the organism in Eukaryota, Viridiplantae, Streptophyta, Magnoliopsida, Brassicales, Brassicaceae. The record is from RefSeq and is a predicted model, not a curated record.